CCAUGCUGUAAACGAUGAAUGCUUGAUGUUGGACUGAAGUUCAGUGUCGAAGUUAACGCGAUAAGCAUUCCGCCUGGGGAGUACGGCCGCAAGGUUAAAACUCAAAGGAAUUGACGGGGACCCGCACAAGCGGUGGAGCAUGUGGUUUAAUUCGAUGCAACGCGAAGAACCUUACCAACUCUUGACAUCCUCAUCGGGGAGAAGAGAGAUCUUUUCUUUCAGUUAGGCUGGAUGAGUGACAGAUGCUGCAUGGCUGU
This 257-nucleotide ribosomal RNA is filed under the name uncultured bacterium. RNAcentral describes it as "partial 16S ribosomal RNA". It matches the Rfam family "Bacterial small subunit ribosomal RNA", at positions 795 to 1052 of the family's 1533-position model. The record is from RNAcentral.